This is a long non-coding RNA of Lynx canadensis (Canada lynx), 4369 nucleotides long. RefSeq lists it as uncharacterized. NCBI's taxonomy places the organism in Eukaryota, Metazoa, Chordata, Mammalia, Carnivora, Felidae. The record is from RefSeq and is a predicted model, not a curated record. The transcript has 4 exons.
GAAACUUUCAAAAAUGACUUUACCUGGAAAUUAAGAAGUCCAUUGAAUCAUAAAGACUGAAAAAGUGUCAUUUACCCAAAACUCACUUGUGCAUCCUCAUAGGUGUCCUCAUUGCUCUACGAACACCUAAGCACCUAUUGUGUGCUGUCCACAGGCCACUGGAAGGACAGCAGGUGACAAAGCCCCACAGACCUAGCGUUCUGUCCAGUACAGUGGCCACUAGCUAUUUACACCUCAAAUUAGAAAUUCCAUUCCUCAGUUGUAUUGGCCACAUCUCAGUGCACAGAUGUAACUAGCAGCAAUGCAGAUAGAGAGCACGCCCAUCACAGAAAAGUUUCUGUUGGGCAGAUGACAGACACUGUACACGUUGAAAAAUGAGCCCGAGUUAGCUCUGAGGGAACACGGUAAGGUUCAGUGAACUGUAGAGCAGAUCUCGUCCAGCCUGGGCAUUGUUGACAGAGUGGCAGUGGCAUAGGCUGGAGAGGGACAGGUGGGAGUUUGGCUUCUAUUCCGGUGUCUCAAUGCUUUUCUUUCAAUUCCACAAACUCUCAUGUGCCUUUCAACAAAUCCCUUUUCUUUAGUAGUCUUGAACAUGACUCUUCACAACAGAAAGAGCCCCCAUCUAGAACUGCAUUCUGCAAACUGUUCUACAGAAAGAUGUCAGCAGGCACCCCCAAUUUCCCUUGCCCCAGCAGAGCCCCACAGAGCCCACUGACAGUUCUGACUAGUCCUGUAGUAAAGGAGCAUUUACAGUCUUAUAUGGGUUAAGUUUCCCAAACUUCUAGGACCAUGUGAUACAAUCAACUAGUGAUACAGUUUUGGAUCUUACCUUGAGGAAAGCAGGACCAGAACACAACUCUUCUACAACUUGGUCUUGUUUUGCAUUAUUUAUUUGAAGCCCUUUGUCGGAAUGUGUUGUGUAGGUGGGGGACCCUUGCUCCUUCUUUGAAGGGCCGUAUAGGACCUAGACAUCCUCACACCUCUUUGUCAGCAGCCAUCAGGCCUCACCAGCUACACGCAGAGAGCAGGCAUGCAAGGGGAGCAACAUGUUCUUUUAUUGAUGCAAGUACGUCCAGUCACACCAACUGACAUCCUGUGUUACGGUACAGCUUUGUACUCAGAGUUCAUCUCAAAAUACCAAAACAUCGUAAGGUGUGUAUCAAAUUGGGAAAAUAAAGUAGCAAACAUAGACACUGUAUCAGGUAGGUACUAGGACUGAUGACCCCGUGGAGUGCACACUGACAUGAAAGCUCCUUAACUCGCAAGACAAAGUGUUCUAACGUUGUAUUCCAAAUAUAUAUUCUCAAGUUUUUAGCCUUUCUGUAUCUCAAAUACAUAAACAAAGCAAUAUGUACUACCAAGAUACAAUAUGUACUAUCUAGAACAUCUGAAAAGUGCAAAAACACUGUGACAAUACAGUGUAAAUAAUCUUGUUCCACCCAGGGCUGAGGGCGACGUCCAUAUCGGAUUGGGGAGCCACCCCUUCCUGAGGCCUCACCUCCACAUCUCCAGGCUCUCCUAGGAGCUUUGGGAAUUAGCAACUAACUGACCCAUCCUCACUUGGGCAUCUCGGCUGCAGGCUCCUGGGAAGCCAGGCAUACGGAGAGAAACAAGGAUUCCCUUAGGGGAGCCCCCCACCCAGAGGGAAGGAGGAGGCAGUCUGCUAGAAUACCGCUUUUUAUAUACAAAAUGGACCCCAACCAGUGAGGCCUCCUCAUCUCAACCCUUAUCAAUCAAGAUUAAAACUCAGUGCAUGUGUGUGCUUCGUCCAGCGUCUGCAGGCUGCAUCCGUGCCUUCAGGCUCUGUUAAGGAGAGUCGUCCUAAAGGACCUUCACUUUCAAAGGAGGCGAUGAAGAGAGCUGAGAGAAGAAGCCCCUCAGAACCCACGUCCACAUGCAGUCUGCCUACCACACCAGUUGUCCCUUCCUUUCUAGGGGUACAACUGGGCCUGGGAAGGGACAGUGACUUCUGGUCUGGGCCUGUCCACAGGUCUCUGCUCCCUGGGGUUCUAGAGCUCACAGCUUGGGGACUAAGAAGCUUCCUGGUUCUGCAACACUAUCAGGGGGUUUCCAGAGCCCCAUCUCUCCUUGUUCUCAUCCUGUCACCUACCCACAGCCCACCCUCACGUACUCAGCCCUGUGGGCUCACUGCCUCCCAGGGCAACCCCCAUGAGAGGAGAGGCCCUGGACAUGGGGAGUCAGGGUGACAUGUACAGUGUAGGGAGGUGGGUGUGCUGCCCUGGGGAGCCGGGCCUCACCUUCCUCACUGUAGAUGGGUGCCGUGAGCAGGUAGUUCUGAAUCUUCUUGUCCUUCUCGAAGGGACACUCUACCUGAGUCCAUGUCAUGAACUCAUGGAUCUGUCUGGAGAUUUCCCAAAAUUUCUGAAGGCACAGAAGACCAACUGGAUGUUCAUUUGUCACCUUAAGCUUGAAAUCCUUGGUUCGGGCAGGGGACGUAGGUUCCGGUUUCAUUCUGUGCCCCAGCAAGAUGGGACGGUGACCCUGCUCAGCUGACUUUGUGGCCACGGCAGCACUUUAUGCAGCAUCAGAGCCAGUAAGUGUCCCCAAGACCAUUCGGUCCUGCACUUUGCCUAGGCCCGAGGCUGCAGCAGGGUCUGUGCCUCCCCCGUGCAAGCCCCCAAGAGGGCCCCAUCGGGGACUCCAGGCUGAGGCAGGUAUGCCAGCCAUACCCAACAGCACCACCAACCUGAACGUGUCAUGAUCUCAUUCUCUGGGGAGCUGUAGGGGAAACGGGGCUGUCCAGUACUUACCUCACACAGGUAAGGGGUAGGAAAGAGUUAUGGAUUCUUACACAGGCCCCCAUAACCUUUGUCCUACCUUCCCACCAUUGGCCAGCUACCCUUGGUUUCCAUCUGGAAUUCUGCUGCCUCCCUGCUCAAGUACCUUCUUGCCUAAAGCCUUCCUCACUCCCAAACCCCCAGAAGUAGCCCCUUCUCUGUCUCCCUGGUGGGGUCAGUGUUGGGGCCACCCUUAUACUUCGCAAACAGCACACAUAACCCACCCUGGAGCUUUCAGUCCUAAAGGCCUUUCUGCAAAGGGCCACUGCUUUUCAGCUCUAGUAGCACAGAUUUUACCUGUCCUAGGAUAAGGCUGAGAGGUCUGUUCUGCCCUGUGUUGGGACAGUCUGGCCCCCCUCCCCUCAGGCCACAAGGGUGCUGAGCUCACCUUAAAGUUAACAUGCCCAUUGGGCAAGUGAUUGGUAUGGAUUUUGUGCAGGAAGUAAAUGUCCUUAACGAAAAGGUUGAAUACAGGGAUAACAAUCUUCUCUCUGCUGCUGUUGGCCAUCUGGGACCUUUGAGUGGCCCCCUGCAGGGCAGUGCGGUAGUUGCAGAAGUUGCUGGAUGGGUCCAUGUGGUGCUGUGGGCAGACAGGAGGACCUGGUUGGCUGUGUUCUCCCUGUACCCCUGACUUGUUCAGAAUGCCCCUUCGCAGAGCAGGAAACAGCGAUGGGGAAGGCAUUUCUCUGCUGGGCAGCCCUGGACUGUCACCAGAAGAGGCCUCCUUUCUGGGAGUGAGCACCUGGCUGAGUACCGGGUUUGGAUCCAAACAUGAGGAAAGUUACAGAGAAGUCUCACAGCUCACACACACCUCUUCCCUGCCCUGCUGAGCCUGGGUCUCACUUCUUUCCUUUCAAAACCUUCCUUUGCCCUUCUACUUGGACCAACACCUCCCAAAACUGACAAGCUCUGUAGGACACAUUUGCAGAAAGUGGAUUCUGUGAUCAAAUACUUCAGGGAAGGCUGCAGGUGAACCUACCCACUCUUGGGCCACCCGGAUGAUCCAGGACCGCAGGAACUCAAGCCAGGAAAAGGCCAGCCUCUGCUUUGUCAGCAUCACCCAACACCCCAGCAACACCCUGGGACCCACUUUUGUCAAACUCUUUCCUAACCACUCUCUAGAACUUGCCUUAGGCAAUGCCAGUUCUGCCUAAAGUUCCAAGGGCCGAGGAGAGCUUCAGCUACCCACCUCCUAGAGCAGCCAGGCCAGCUCAACAUGCCCUACACCAGAUGGCACUGUGGGCAGUGGGUUCUGAGCAAGGGGGCAGAGUGGAUGAGGCCCACCCCUCCUCAGGCCAAUGUAGGACAUGGCUGAGGUGCUUACCUCCAAGACGUCAAACUUGGCCGUCUUGACUUUGGACCACGUUUUCUUCAGCCUCGCCACAGGACUGAGGUUCAUGCCAGCUGUAGGGAACAGCAGGUGGAGUCAGGGUGGGGUUAGGUAGGCCAUGCAGAAGCUGGAUAGGAAGCCCCUGGGGCCUGGCCACUCACAUAUGAUGGCCAUCAUGGAGUUGAAAUUCCCGAUGUUGAAGCACUCCCGGGCCACAUCAAUAAAGAACUCUAGCAUGCGG